GCUGGGCAUGGUGGUGCGUGCCUGUAGUCCCAGCUACUCAGGAGGCUGAGGCAGGAGAAUUGCUUGAACCCAGGAGGCGGAGAUUGCAGUGAGCUGAGAUCACUGCACUCCAGCCUGGGUGACAGAGCGAGACUCCGUCUCAA
This 143-nucleotide small RNA is filed under the name Pongo abelii (Sumatran orangutan). RNAcentral's name for it is "Metazoan signal recognition particle RNA (ENSPPYG00000034232.1)". The record is from Rfam by way of RNAcentral. Lineage: Eukaryota; Metazoa; Chordata; Mammalia; Primates; Hominidae.